This 495-nucleotide ribosomal RNA is filed under the name uncultured bacterium. RNAcentral describes it as "partial 16S ribosomal RNA". It matches the Rfam family "Bacterial small subunit ribosomal RNA", at positions 28 to 507 of the family's 1533-position model. The record is from RNAcentral.
GACGAACGCUGGCGGCGUGCCUAAUACAUGCAAGUAGAACGCUGAAGGAGGAGCUUGCUUCUCUGGAUGAGUUGCGAACGGGUGAGUAACGCGUAGGUAACCUGCCUGGUAGCGGGGGAUAACUAUUGGAAACGAUAGCUAAUACCGCAUAACAGUAGAUAUCGCAUGAUAUCUACUUGAAAGGUGCAAUUGCAUCACUACCAGAUGGACCUGCGUUGUAUUAGCUAGUUGGUGAGGUAACGGCUCACCAAGGCGACGAUACAUAGCCGACCUGACAGGGUGAUCAGCCACACUGGGACUGAGACACGGCCCAGACUCCUGCGGGAGGCAGCAGUAGGGAAUCUUCGGCAAUGGACGGAAGUCUGACCGAGCAACGCCGCGUGAGUGAAGAAUGUUUUCGGAUCGUAAAGCUCUGUUGUAAGAGAAGAACGAGUGUGAGAGUGGAAAGUUCACACUGUGACGGUAUCUUACCAGAAAGGGACGGCUAACUACGUG